This 493-nucleotide ribosomal RNA is filed under the name uncultured bacterium. RNAcentral describes it as "partial 16S ribosomal RNA". It matches the Rfam family "Bacterial small subunit ribosomal RNA", at positions 30 to 523 of the family's 1533-position model. The record is from RNAcentral.
AUUGAACGCUGGCGGCAUGCCUUACACAUGCAAGUCGAACGGUAACAGGUUAAGCUGACGAGUGGCGAACGGGUGAGUAAUAUAUCGGAACGUGCCCAGUCGUGGGGGAUAACGUAGCGAAAGCUACGCUAAUACCGCAUACGAUCUACGGAUGAAAGCGGGGGAUCGCAAGACCUCGCGCGAUUGGAGCGGCCGAUAUCAGAUUAGGUUGUUGGUGAGGUAAAAGCUCACCAAGCCUGCGAUCUGUAGCUGGUCUGAGAGGACGACCAGCCACACUGGAACUGAGACACGGUCCAGACUCCUACGGGAGGCAGCAGUGGGGAAUUUUGGACAAUGGACGCAAGUCUGAUCCAGCAAUGCCGCGUGCAGGACGAAGGCCUUCGGGUUGUAAACUGCUUUUGUACGGAACGAAACGGUGAGCUCUAAUACAGUUUGCUAAUGACGGUACCGUAAGAAUAAGCACCGGCUAACUACGUGCCAGCCGCCGCGGUAA